GAGCUUGCUCUUAUGAAGUUAGCGGCGGACGGGUGAGUAACACGUGGGUAACCUGCCCAUAAGACUGGGAUAACUCCGGGAAACCGGGGCUAAUACCGGAUAACAUUUUGAACUGCAUGGUUCGAAAUUGAAAGGCGGCUUCGGCUGUCACUUAUGGAUGGACCCGCGUCGCAUUAGCUAGUUGGUGAGGUAACGGCUCACCAAGGCAACGAUGCGUAGCCGACCUGAGAGGGUGAUCGGCCACACUGGGACUGAGACACGGCCCAGACUCCUACGGGAGGCAGCAGUAGGGAAUCUUCCGCAAUGGACGAAAGUCUGACGGAGCAACGCCGCGUGAGUGAUGAAGGCUUUCGGGUCGUAAAACUCUGUUGUUAGGGAAGAACAAGUGCUAGUUGAAUAAGCUGGCACCUUGACGGUACCUAACCAGAAAGCCACGGCUAACUACGUGCCAGCAG
This 455-nucleotide ribosomal RNA is filed under the name Bacillus sp. (in: firmicutes). RNAcentral describes it as "bacterial SSU rRNA". It matches the Rfam family "Bacterial small subunit ribosomal RNA", at positions 76 to 514 of the family's 1533-position model. Lineage: Bacteria; Bacillati; Bacillota; Bacilli; Caryophanales; Bacillaceae. The record is from RNAcentral.